This 453-nucleotide ribosomal RNA is filed under the name uncultured bacterium. RNAcentral's name for it is "bacterial SSU rRNA". It matches the Rfam family "Bacterial small subunit ribosomal RNA", at positions 8 to 507 of the family's 1533-position model. The record is from RNAcentral.
AGAGUUUGAUCCUGGCUCAGAACGAACGCUGGCGGCAUGCCUAACACAUGCAAGUCGAACGAGACCUUCGGGUCUAGUGGCGCACGGGUGCGUAACGCGUGGGAACCUGCCUUUAGGUUCGGAAUAACUCAGAGAAAUUUGAGCUAAUACCGGAUAAUGUCUUCGGACCAAAGAUUUAUCGCCUUUAGAUGGGCCCGCGUUGGAUUAGCUAGUUGGUGGGGUAAAGGCCUACCAAGGCGACGAUCCAUAGCUGGUUUGAGAGGAUGAUCAGCCACACUGGGACUGAGACACGGCCCAGACUCCUACGGGAGGCAGCAGUGGGGAAUCUUAGACAAUGGGCGCAAGCCUGAUCUAGCCAUGCCGCGUGAUCGAUGAAGGCCUUAGGGUUGUAAAGAUCUUUCGUGGGGGAAGAUAAUGACGGUAGUCGGAGAAGAAGCCCCGGCUAACUUCGUG